GAGGGAUGGCUGAGUGGUUUAAAGCACCGGUCUUGAAAACCGGCGUGCCGAAAGGCACCGGGGGUUCGACUCCCUCUCCCUCC
This 83-nucleotide transfer RNA is filed under the name bovine gut metagenome. It matches the Rfam family "tRNA". Rfam says of the family: Transfer RNA (tRNA) molecules are approximately 80 nucleotides in length. Their secondary structure includes four short double-helical elements and three loops (D, anti-codon, and T loops). Further hydrogen bonds mediate the characteristic L-shaped molecular structure. tRNAs have two regions of fundamental functional importance: the anti-codon, which is responsible for specific mRNA codon recognition, and the 3' end, to which the tRNAs corresponding amino acid is attached (by aminoacyl-tRNA synthetases). tRNAs cope with the degeneracy of the genetic code in two manners: having more than one tRNA (with a specific anti-codon) for a particular amino acid; and 'wobble' base-pairing, i.e. permitting non-standard base-pairing at the 3rd anti-codon position. The record is from RNAcentral.